UGAGGAAUAUUGGUCAAUGGGCGCGAGCCUGAACCAGCCAAGUAGCGUGCAGGAUGACGGCCCUAUGGGUUGUAAACUGCUUUUAUAGGGGGAUAAAGUGUGGGACGUGUCCCAUAUUGCAGGUACCCUAUGAAUAAGGACCGGCUAAUUCCGUGCCAGCAGCCGCGGUAAUACGGAAGGUCCGGGCGUUAUCCGGAUUUAUUGGGUUUAAAGGGAGCGUAGGCCGUCUGUUAAGCGUGUUGUGAAAUGUCGUGGCUCAACCGGGGCACUGCAGCGCGAACUGGCAGACUUGAGUGCACGGUAGGAAGGCGGAAUUCGUCGUGUAGCGGUGAAAUGCUUAGAUAUGACGAAGAACUCCGAUUGCGAAGGCAGCUUUCCGUAGUGUAACUGACGCUGAAGCUCGAAAGCGUGGGUAUCGAACAGGAUUAGAUACCCUGGUAGUCCACGCGGUAAACGAUGGAUGCUCGCUGUUUGCGUCUGACGUAAGCGGCCAAGCGAAAGCGUUAAGCAUCCCACCUGGGGAGUACGCCGGCAACGGUGAAACUCAAAGGAAUUGACGGGGGCCCGCACAAGCGGAGGAACAUGUGGUUUAAUUCGAUGAUACGCGAGGAACCUUACCCGGGCUUGAAUUGCAGGAGAACGAUCCAGAGAUGGUGAGGCCCUUCGGGGCUCCUGUGAAGGUGCUGCAUGGUUGUCGUCAGCUCGUGCCGUGAGGUGUCGGCUCAAGUGCCAUAACGAGCGCAACCCCUGUCCAUAGUUGCCAUCAGGUCGUGCUGGGCACUCUGUGGAGACUGCCGCCGUAAGGUGUGAGGAAGGUGGGGAUGACGUCAAAUCAGCACGGCCCUUACGUCCGGGGCUACACACGUGUUACAAUGGGGCAUACAGCGAGUUGGAUGUGCGCAAGUACGUCCGGAUCAAUAAAGUGCCUCUCAGUUCGGACUGGGGUCUGCAACCCGACCCCACGAAGCUGGAUUCGCUAGUAAUCGCGCAUCAGCCAUGGCGCGGUGAAUACGUUCCC
This 1018-nucleotide ribosomal RNA is filed under the name uncultured bacterium. Its description in RNAcentral is "bacterial SSU rRNA". It matches the Rfam family "Bacterial small subunit ribosomal RNA", at positions 355 to 1375 of the family's 1533-position model. The record is from RNAcentral.